AAUAACAAUUAUGGCACAAUCUGACCCUCCUAACACUUCUGAACAAAGCAACUGCUCAGAAGCACAGCGGGAACCCUCUACACAGGGGUGACUGCUUCUCCCCUGGCCCCGACCCAGUCUAACCGAGAACAACCGGAUUGCUGUGCUGGGUCCCUGCUGAGGAGUAGGGACUGGCGCUCCUCACUCCUGCUGACAAUCUCAUGUGGGGCUCUGGCCCUGUUCCAAGCAAACUGCAAGAACGAGACCAAACAGUAUGGGCAGGAACCAGGGAUGAGUGACAAGAUCUCCCUAAACAAAUUACAGGAUUCAUAGGUACCAUGUAGAUUUUUCUUUUAAAUGUAUUUCUACUCAGGUUUGAUUCUUGGGAAAGACCAAGCACUUGUAGCUCUCUAUUCAGUGACUAAACAACCUGACAUUUCACUUUUAACUCCAGUCACAUUAAGUUUUUUUUUUUUUUUUGAGACGGAGUUUCGCUCUGUCGCCCAGGCUGGAGUGCAGUGGUGCGACCUCGGCUCACUGCAACCUCUGCCUCCCGGGUUCAAGUGAUUCUCCUUCCUCAGCCUCCUGAGUAGCUGGGACUACAGGCACAUGUCACCACGCCC
Molecule: long non-coding RNA, 602 nt
Filed under: Homo sapiens (human)
Lineage: Eukaryota; Metazoa; Chordata; Mammalia; Primates; Hominidae
Description: HSALNT0267354
Source: RNAcentral